Molecule: ribosomal RNA, 648 nt
Filed under: Curtobacterium flaccumfaciens
Lineage: Bacteria; Bacillati; Actinomycetota; Actinomycetes; Micrococcales; Microbacteriaceae
Description: bacterial SSU rRNA
Rfam family: Bacterial small subunit ribosomal RNA
Source: RNAcentral
AGUCGAACGAUGAUGCCCAGCUUGCUGGGUUGAUUAGUGGCGAACGGGUGAGUAACACGUGAGUAACCUGCCCCUGACUCUGGGAUAAGCGUUGGAAACGACGUCUAAUACUGGAUAUGAUCACUGGUCGCAUGGCCUGGUGGUGGAAAGAUUUUUUGGUUGGGGAUGGACUCGCGGCCUAUCAGCUUGUUGGUGAGGUAAUGGCUCACCAAGGCGACGACGGGUAGCCGGCCUGAGAGGGUGACCGGCCACACUGGGACUGAGACACGGCCCAGACUCCUACGGGAGGCAGCAGUGGGGAAUAUUGCACAAUGGGCGAAAGCCUGAUGCAGCAACGCCGCGUGAGGGAUGACGGCCUUCGGGUUGUAAACCUCUUUUAGUAGGGAAGAAGCGAAAGUGACGGUACCUGCAGAAAAAGCACCGGCUAACUACGUGCCAGCAGCCGCGGUAAUACGUAGGGUGCAAGCGUUGUCCGGAAUUAUUGGGCGUAAAGAGCUCGUAGGCGGUUUGUCGCGUCUGCUGUGAAAUCCCGAGGCUCAACCUCGGGCUUGCAGUGGGUACGGGCAGACUAGAGUGCGGUAGGGGAGAUUGGAAUUCCUGGUGUAGCGGUGGAAUGCGCAGAUAUCACGAGGAACACCGAUGGCGAAG